UGAUUUUGUAAUAUCACUUAUUGAGAUAUUUGAUUUCACCCCUCAUAUCACCCUCUAGCUACUGAAGAUACUGUUGCAGAGUGAACAGUUAUACGGAGAAAAGUUUUAAAGUUAGACUCUAAUAUUAAGGUUAUUUGUAGCACCCGGAAAGGAGGAGAGAAAAAAAAAAAAAAAAAAAAAAAAGGGCCACGUCAGCAGCCACGUCAGCAGCCGCGUCAGCAGCCACGUCAGCAGUCCCGGCCAACCAGGGCCUGCCACGUGGCAAGAU
This 268-nucleotide long non-coding RNA is filed under the name Carica papaya (papaya). RNAcentral describes it as "long non-coding RNA (CPAP_LNC015615)". Lineage: Eukaryota; Viridiplantae; Streptophyta; Magnoliopsida; Brassicales; Caricaceae. The record is from RNAcentral.